CCUGGAGGCAGGAAGCUCAGAUCAAAGCCCAGAGACACAGACACUCUUGGAAAAUAAUCUGGUAGUGAAGCCGGAAACAGAGCUGCAACCUGGAGCCUCCAACCAAGGGCAGCUGGGAGAGCCAGUCACAAGAACAGGACAGUGGGUAGCACUUUCUUCCGCAGGCACAGGCACACAGACACCCCAAAGAGGCAAACCUGGGCAAUUGCCCGUGAGCAGGAGGCGGCUACGUAAAAAGGGUCCCGUGAUACCAUGGGAGACAACUGGAUUCAGCCAGUCGUGCUUACUGGACAUCUCAGGCAGACCACAGCCACGGGGACAGACCUAGAAGUCCUGAGCGUGGCUGGGCUGCAUGGCUGGGCUGCACCGCAGGUGUGGGUCAGGACGCUGACUCCCAGCUGUGUCCCCUCCUCUCCUUUCUCUGCCAUGGGCAUCUUUAGGGGACGCUGUCCCCACCAACAGGCAAGCCUUCAUUCGGACUGGCAGGGCCUCCCUAGCAGCACCCAAAGCCUCUGCUGACUAAGAGGAACAACAGGCUGGCAUUGGCCUCCUCCUCCUGCUGCUGAGACUCCGGGUAGCUCCGCCUCUGGGGACCCAGAACUUUCCAAGGAAAAAAAUGUAAACUAUUUCCAAGUCCUCCAGUACCUGGCACACGGUUAAAGCAACAGACAUGUUUUAAUAAACCCGUACAGUCAAAAAGGG
Molecule: long non-coding RNA, 702 nt
Organism: Mesocricetus auratus (golden hamster)
Lineage: Eukaryota; Metazoa; Chordata; Mammalia; Rodentia; Cricetidae
Exons: 2
Source: RefSeq, a predicted model, not a curated record